Molecule: ribosomal RNA, 433 nt
Filed under: uncultured bacterium
Lineage: Bacteria
Description: partial 16S ribosomal RNA
Rfam family: Bacterial small subunit ribosomal RNA
Source: RNAcentral
AACGAACGCUGGCGGCAGGCCUAACACAUGCAAGUCGAGCGGACCCUUCGGGGUUAGCGGCGGACGGGUGAGUAACGCGUGGGAAUAUGCCCUUCUCUACGGAAUAGUCCUGGGAAACUGGGGAUAAUACCGUAUACGCCCUUUGGGGGAAAGAUUUAUCGGGGAAGGAUUAGCCCGCGUUGGAUUAGGUAGUUGGUGGGGUAAUGGCCUACCAAGCCGACGAUCCAUAGCUGGUUUGAGAGGAUGAUCAGCCACACUGGGACUGAGACACGGCCCAGACUCCUACGGGAAGCAGCAGUGGGGAAUCUUAGACAAUGGGGGCAACCCUGAUCGAGCCAUGCCGCGUGAGUGAUGAAGGCCUUAGGGUUGUAAAGCUCUUUCAGCUAGGAAGAUAAUGACGGUACCAGCAGAAGAAGCCCCGGCUAACUCCGUG